GAUACAUAGCUCAGUUGGUAAGAGCAUCCGGCUCAUAACCGGACGGUCGCAGGUUCGAGUCCUGCUAUAUCC
RNAcentral lists this transfer RNA (72 nucleotides) under uncultured Faecalimonas sp. It matches the Rfam family "tRNA". Rfam says of the family: Transfer RNA (tRNA) molecules are approximately 80 nucleotides in length. Their secondary structure includes four short double-helical elements and three loops (D, anti-codon, and T loops). Further hydrogen bonds mediate the characteristic L-shaped molecular structure. tRNAs have two regions of fundamental functional importance: the anti-codon, which is responsible for specific mRNA codon recognition, and the 3' end, to which the tRNAs corresponding amino acid is attached (by aminoacyl-tRNA synthetases). tRNAs cope with the degeneracy of the genetic code in two manners: having more than one tRNA (with a specific anti-codon) for a particular amino acid; and 'wobble' base-pairing, i.e. permitting non-standard base-pairing at the 3rd anti-codon position. The record is from RNAcentral. Lineage: Bacteria; Bacillati; Bacillota; Clostridia; Lachnospirales; Lachnospiraceae.